UAAGUGCUGAACCAGUAAAGUGCUGUUUGGUUGCACCUCUGAAUGACUGUCUUCAAAAAUGUCCAUUUAAACUACCCAAUUUACUCUUAUCAGCAAUUAAACCUUCAACACAAACUAUAUACAAAUUUCCAACACAGAAACUAACCAAUGACCACGAACCCUAACUUUGGAAGUACGAAACAUCGGGUUGGAAUAUAAAUAGCAGUGAAGUAUUAGAGAAACGAAAUCAGAGAAUUCAAAGUGUAUAAUAAAUCAGAGAAACGAACCCUAAAUAGGUCGCCAGUGGAAGAAGGUCGGCUGUGCACCUCCGAUUGAGGGGGAGGGCGCUGCAGAGAGGAGGAGAGUGGAGGAGGUAGAAGGUGGAAGAAGCUCGGCUGUGGACCUCCGAUUGAGGGGGAGGCGCUGCAGAGUGGAGGUGGUAGGCGGUGGUAGAAGAUGAGGAAGAAUGUGAGGGAUAUUGAAGUCUAACGUUCAUUCAGAGAUGGGUCAGACUCCACACAAU
RNAcentral lists this long non-coding RNA (502 nucleotides) under Helianthus annuus (common sunflower). The record is from RNAcentral. Lineage: Eukaryota; Viridiplantae; Streptophyta; Magnoliopsida; Asterales; Asteraceae.